AGUGGAAGCGUCUGGAAAGGCGCGCGAUACAGGGUGACAGCCCCGUACACAAAAGCGCAUGUGCUGUGAGCUCGAUGAGUAGGGCGGGACACGUGGUAUCCUGUCUGAAUAUGGGGGGACCAUCCUCCAAGGCUAAAUACUCCUGACUGACCGAUAGUGAACCAGUACCGUGAGGGAAAGGCGAAAAGAACCCCGGCGAGGGGAGUGAAAAAGAACCUGAAACCGUGUACGUACAAGCAGUGGGAG
This 246-nucleotide ribosomal RNA is filed under the name Salmonella enterica subsp. enterica serovar Mbandaka. RNAcentral's name for it is "partial 23S ribosomal RNA". It matches the Rfam family "Bacterial large subunit ribosomal RNA", at positions 331 to 579 of the family's 2925-position model. The record is from RNAcentral. Lineage: Bacteria; Pseudomonadati; Pseudomonadota; Gammaproteobacteria; Enterobacterales; Enterobacteriaceae.